Molecule: ribosomal RNA, 433 nt
Filed under: uncultured bacterium
Lineage: Bacteria
Description: partial 16S ribosomal RNA
Rfam family: Bacterial small subunit ribosomal RNA
Source: RNAcentral
AACGAACGCUGGCGGCAUGCCUAACACAUGCAAGUCGAACGAGACCUUCGGGUCUAGUGGCGCACGGGUGCGUCACGCGUGGGAACCUGCCCUUAGGUUCGGAAUAACUCCCCGACAGGGGUGCUAAUACCGGUUAAUGUCUUCGGACCAAAGAUUUAUCGCCUUUGGAUGGGCCCGCGUUGUAUUAGCUAGUUGGUAGGGUAAAAGCCUACCAAGGCGACGAUCCAUAGCUGGUCUGAGAGGAUGAUCAGCCACACUGGGACUGAGACACGGCCCAGACUCCUACGGGAGGCAGCAGUGGGGAAUAUUGGUCAAUGGGCGAAAGCCUGAUCCAGCAAUGCCGCGUGAGUGAUGAAGGCCUUAGGGUUGUAAAGCUCUUUUACCCGGGAUGAUAAUGACAGUACCGGGAGAAUAAGCUCCGGCUAACUCCGUG